Triticum dicoccoides is the source of this 74-nucleotide non-coding RNA. The record is from the annotation of a RefSeq genome assembly. Lineage: Eukaryota; Viridiplantae; Streptophyta; Magnoliopsida; Poales; Poaceae.
GCUGAAAUAGCUCAGUUGGCUAGAGCGUGUGGUUGUUAACCACAAGGUUGGAGGUUUGAGCCCUCCUUCUAGCA